RNAcentral lists this ribosomal RNA (480 nucleotides) under uncultured bacterium. Its description in RNAcentral is "bacterial SSU rRNA". It matches the Rfam family "Bacterial small subunit ribosomal RNA", at positions 29 to 507 of the family's 1533-position model. The record is from RNAcentral.
AACGAACGCUGGCGGCGUGCUUAACACAUGCAAGUCGAACGGAGUUACGUAUGAAGUAUUUCGGUACGGACUAUGUAACUUAGUGGCGAACGGGUGAGUAACACGUGGGCAACCUGCCCUUAACCGGGGGAUAACAUUGUGAAAACAGUGCUAAUACCGCAUAACAGAGUAUCGGGCAUCCGAUAUUUUUAAAAGGAGCAAUCCGGUUUUGGAUGGGCCCGCGUCCAAUUAGCUAGUUGGUGAGGUAACGGCUCACCAAGGCUACGAUUGGUAGCCGAACUGAGAGGUUGAUCGGCCACAUUGGGACUGAGACACGGCCCAGACUCCUACGGGAGGCAGCAGUGGGGAAUAUUGGGCAAUGGGCGAAAGCCUGACCCAGCGACGCCGCGUGAAGGAUGAAGGUCUUCGGAUUGUAAACUUCUUUGAUCAGGGAAGAAAGAAAUGACGGUACCUGAAGAACAAGCCACGGCUAACUACGUG